UUGGCUAUUUGGUGGAUAAACAGCUGCGCGUUGGAAAACAAGCAUCCACGUCAUCUCUGCACAUUCUGGACCAAGAUGCAAUGAAACUUCUUACGGCCUCAUCAUUUCUUGUCCAUUUGUCAUCCAUCUUCUUAAGUUCAUUGGAGAUGUCAAUGCUGACCUGGUGCCAGCUUAUGUUGUCAUAGGCGUAUGCUGAAAGUUCUGUCAGUUCCUCGUGCAUUGACUCUAUUCUUUUCUGUAUCAGCUGCUCGCCGGCUGGUGUAGACUCCGUGUCGAUCGAUGCGAUUAAGUGUUCGUCGGUCGAUCUCAGCGACUUACCAUCGAGCGAUUUCGCUCGCUUCCUGUCGAUCGAUGCUG
RNAcentral lists this long non-coding RNA (357 nucleotides) under Brassica napus (rape). RNAcentral's name for it is "long non-coding RNA (BNAP_LNC008542)". Lineage: Eukaryota; Viridiplantae; Streptophyta; Magnoliopsida; Brassicales; Brassicaceae. The record is from RNAcentral.